UACGUAGGGGGCAAGCGUUAUCCGGAUUUACUGGGUGUAAAGGGAGCGUAAACGGCUGUGCAAGUCUGGAGUGAAAGGCAUGGGCUCAACCUGUGGACUGCUUUGGAAACUGUGCGGCUUGAGUGUCGGAGAGGCAAGUGGAAUUCCUAGUGUAGCGGUGAAAUGCGUAGAUAUUAGGAGGAACACCAGUGGCGAAGGCGGCUUGCUGGACGAUGACUGACGUUGAGGCUCGAAAGCGUGGGGAGCAAACAGG
This 253-nucleotide ribosomal RNA is filed under the name uncultured bacterium. RNAcentral's name for it is "partial 16S ribosomal RNA". It matches the Rfam family "Bacterial small subunit ribosomal RNA", at positions 524 to 776 of the family's 1533-position model. The record is from RNAcentral.